GCCCGAGUGGUGGAAUUGGUAGACACAAGAGACUUAAAAUCUCUCGACCUUUGGUCAUGCCGGUUCAAGUCCGGCCUCGGGUACCA
This 86-nucleotide transfer RNA is filed under the name Pelagibacteraceae bacterium TMED247. Its description in RNAcentral is "tRNA-Leu". It matches the Rfam family "tRNA". Rfam says of the family: Transfer RNA (tRNA) molecules are approximately 80 nucleotides in length. Their secondary structure includes four short double-helical elements and three loops (D, anti-codon, and T loops). Further hydrogen bonds mediate the characteristic L-shaped molecular structure. tRNAs have two regions of fundamental functional importance: the anti-codon, which is responsible for specific mRNA codon recognition, and the 3' end, to which the tRNAs corresponding amino acid is attached (by aminoacyl-tRNA synthetases). tRNAs cope with the degeneracy of the genetic code in two manners: having more than one tRNA (with a specific anti-codon) for a particular amino acid; and 'wobble' base-pairing, i.e. permitting non-standard base-pairing at the 3rd anti-codon position. The record is from RNAcentral. Lineage: Bacteria; Pseudomonadati; Pseudomonadota; Alphaproteobacteria; Candidatus Pelagibacterales; Candidatus Pelagibacteraceae.